RNAcentral lists this non-coding RNA (807 nucleotides) under Pongo abelii (Sumatran orangutan). The record is from RNAcentral. Lineage: Eukaryota; Metazoa; Chordata; Mammalia; Primates; Hominidae.
UUUUUUUUUUUUUUAGAUGGAGUCUCGCUAUGUUGCCCAGGCUGGAGAGCAGUGGUGCGAUCCUGGCUUACUGCAACCUCUGCCUCCUGGCUUCAAGCAAUUCCCCUGCCUCAGCCUCCCAAGUAGCUGGGACUACAGGCUCUGCAGUACCUACCAGCCAUGUUACCGUCUUAGUUGUUGGUCUCUCCAGUUGGUAAUACAAGCAUUUCCCACACAUGUACAGAAAGCAAAAAGGACAACAAUAUGAAAUGAAGUGACAACAUCUGUGCCAAUGUAUGGCAUUUACCUGUCACAGUUAGUGUGGCUGUACAGCUGACACUGCCAUACUCAUUGGAAGCUUUGCAUGUAUACUCGCCACAGUCAACCACCUGGGUUCUCAGGAUUUCAAGGCUGGAGAUAUACUUUGAAGAUCGAAUAGAACACUUGUCACUCUCAUAAAUUUCUCGGCCAGCUUUAAACCACUGGAACCGGACGUUGGGAGCACUUUGGAUCUCACAGCGUAUAAGCAUUAGAACACAGGACUCAAGUGUCUGCUGGCUGUAAAAAUACUGGAGAAACUCAUCUAUAGCAUGCAGAAUACAUAUUCAGACUCAGGUUGGCUGUGCUUGACACUUGGCCUACAGCAUUACUAGCAACAAACGUCUUCUUCCUUUGGUGAACUUAAUGAGGCACCAGGAUACACAUGAACUGCCACUGGACAUGAACUGUACACAAUAAGUGAGUUAACAGAAACCCGGCAUUGAAAACGGGCUGGCUGCCCUUCAGAAGUGACAGUGUCCUGAAGCGGGGUGAUGAUGGCAGGUGGAU